This is a long non-coding RNA of Pipistrellus kuhlii (Kuhl's pipistrelle), 1084 nucleotides long. RefSeq lists it as uncharacterized. The record is from RefSeq and is a predicted model, not a curated record. Lineage: Eukaryota; Metazoa; Chordata; Mammalia; Chiroptera; Vespertilionidae. The transcript has 3 exons.
UUGGGAUUUAUACUCCCUACCUAACCUAGAGUCCGCUGGCUAGACCAAGAGUCGUCACUGUGGUUGUGAUGAUUAAAUCACUCUUUAAGCAAAUAUUUACAGAUUUCUUUCCAAACGCCAGGCCUGUUCUAGGCUCCAAUUGCUCACUCUGAGUGAUCAUCUCCUGUCAUACUGAAGCACUAAGAACAUCACUACCUCAUCGUGUGUAAACACGGUCUUAUUUCCAGAUUUUAUGGGUAGGGGGGUCCAGUUCCUCUCCUCCAGGCAGUAGAGCAGUGCUACAUCUAGUUCAAGACCAUUUCAAGGUCACAAAUGUUAAUACAGUAUAUAGAAUAUACAUUAUAAACAGAGUAUUUAAGGUUGGAGGAAAGUCCAAGAUAGUCUUGGUAAGUUAGUUAGAACCCAAACAAUGAAGAAAGCAGAUACAUGGCCUUCACUGAAUUACACGGAGCAGACCCUUUGGGAAGGUUGUGUGGCACUGUGGGAAAGAACAUGGGGCUUGGUUUGGGAGGACCUAUCUGUGUGUGCAUGCUUCUUUCCUUACAGGCACUGUGACUUUCCGUGAAUUAUUUACUCACGGAGCUUCUGAUGGCUCCUUUGCAUAAAUAAUGAUAAUAACACAUUUUAUGCCUACCUAACACAAUUGCUCUUACAACCAAACUCUCCUCAUCUUUAAUAAUUAUCCCAUUCAAUUCCAGGCUUGAUCAGUCAGCUGUCAGUCACUAUGCAUUUACUGAGGGCUUGAUGGGAUAUCCAGAGCAUCAUCGGCUUCCCUUCUUCGUGUGGCUAAUUCACCAUGAACAGAAUGGUGGAGAAGAUGUCCCCCUACUACAUCCCGCCCUUUACCUCUGUUGUAGAGAUUUAUUGGAAGAAAGAUGACACCUUGCUCUACUUUAUACCCUGAACCAACUGUGGAUGCAGCAUGAUUUCUGGAGGCUGGGAAGUCCAAGAUAAAGGUGCUGGCUGGCCAAUUGGGUGCCUGGUGAGGAAUCCCUUACUGGUUCCUAUGACCUGACAUGGUGAAGAGCUGGAAACUUGAGUUCUUUCUGAUGUUUCCAAAUCUAAUCUCUCAUCACAGUUUCAU